RNAcentral lists this transfer RNA (72 nucleotides) under Chloroflexota bacterium. RNAcentral's name for it is "tRNA-Arg". It matches the Rfam family "tRNA". From Rfam's summary of the family: Transfer RNA (tRNA) molecules are approximately 80 nucleotides in length. RNAcentral also lists the same sequence under 1 other name. Lineage: Bacteria; Bacillati; Chloroflexota. The record is from RNAcentral.
GCCCCUGUAGCUCAGAGGAUAGAGCGUCGGUUUCCUAAACCGUGAGCCUGGGUUCGAGUCCCAGCAGGGGCG